UCCCCAAGGCUCAGGAGGAGCUGCUGUCUUCCCACAGAUGUGAUGAAAACUGCCUGAGCUGCGAGGGCUCCAGCAGGAACUGCAGCAGAUGUAAAGCUGGCUUCACGCAGCUGGGGACCUCCUGCAUCACCAACCACACGUGCAGUAACGGUGAGUACUACAGGGUGACCUCAGGGCUGUCCAGGAGGCAGUGGAAAGAGGAGAGGCCGGAGGCGUGGCUGCCCAGAGAGUAGGGGCACUUACUUCUGACAUGACUGACCAUCUCUUUGGCCACAUGACUUAAAAGUAGCUUCAUUUGUAUACUGUUCCCACUCUCCUGACAUGAGCUGCAGGCAGCUUGAGUAUAAUUUCCCCAUAAAAAAGUCAGCACAGAGAGACCUGAAAGACCAAAUCCUCGGAACUAGGAGGACAGAGUUGAGCCCCAGCUGUCUACAAGGUGCUUCUUUAUCUAUGCUAGGAGGGCCCUGGCUCUGCAGAUAGGUGGUGGGUGGUGGGGAGGAUAAGUUAUUAAAAU
RNAcentral lists this long non-coding RNA (514 nucleotides) under Rattus norvegicus (Norway rat). RNAcentral's name for it is "long non-coding RNA NONRATT000779". Lineage: Eukaryota; Metazoa; Chordata; Mammalia; Rodentia; Muridae. The record is from RNAcentral.